GGGGCUGUCCCGGAUUCGAUGGGGAAGGGGAUACGGUAUAAGCACGCCGAAGGCUCGACUUCGUAAAAACGGAAAAUUAAAUUUAAACGCAAAAAAUAACAAUCAAGUAGCUUUCGCUGCUUAAUCAGCGAGCUUGUCGACCCGAGAAUCCACGGCUCGGUCAUCGGCAUCAAUCAGUGGAAAGGGUCGGGCGCAUACGCCUUUAACGUCCGACAAUAUCAAAGGCUUGCCGAAACGUUCAUCCGUGAAUAGAGAACGUCAGGGACUAAUAUAUGUUCAAUAAGCGUGUAGAAAGUGUCGUGCAAACUUGUCCAGACAGGGGUUCAACUCCCCUCAGUUCCACCA
RNAcentral lists this transfer-messenger RNA (345 nucleotides) under Clostridia bacterium. It matches the Rfam family "transfer-messenger RNA". Rfam says of the family: Bacterial tmRNA, also known as 10Sa RNA or SsrA, is named for its dual tRNA and mRNA-like properties. Its role is to liberate the mRNA from a stalled ribosome. The record is from RNAcentral. Lineage: Bacteria; Bacillati; Bacillota; Clostridia.